Molecule: ribosomal RNA, 137 nt
Filed under: uncultured bacterium
Lineage: Bacteria
Description: partial 16S ribosomal RNA
Rfam family: Bacterial small subunit ribosomal RNA
Source: RNAcentral
UGGGGAAUAUUGCACAAUGGGGGAAACCCUGAUGCAGCGACGCCACGUGAGCGAUGAAGUAUUUCGGUAUGUAAAGCUCUAUCAGUAGGGAAGAAAAUGACGGUACCUGACUAAGAAGCCCCGGCUAACUACGUGCC